RNAcentral lists this ribosomal RNA (407 nucleotides) under uncultured bacterium. Its description in RNAcentral is "bacterial SSU rRNA". It matches the Rfam family "Bacterial small subunit ribosomal RNA", at positions 505 to 916 of the family's 1533-position model. The record is from RNAcentral.
GUGCCAGCCGCCGCGGUAAUACGGAAGAUGCGAGCGUUAUCCGGAUUUAUUGGGUUUAAAGGGAGCGUAGGCGGGAAGUUAAGUCAGUUGUGAAAGUCUGCGGCUCAACCGUAGAAUUGCAGUUGAUACUGGCUUUCUUGAGUGCGGCAGAGGCAGGCGGAAUUCGUGGUGUAGCGGUGAAAUGCUUAGAUAUCACGAGGAACCCCGAUUGCGAAGGCAGCUUGCGGGAGCGCAACUGACGCUGAAGCUCGAAGGUGCGGGUAUCGAACAGGAUUAGAUACCCUGGUAGUCCGCACGGUAAACGAUGGAUGCCCGCUGUGUGCCUAUUGGUAUGCGGCCAAGCGAAAGCGUUAAGCAUCCCACCUGGGGAGUACGCCGGCAACGGUGAAACUCAAAUGAAUUGACGG